RNAcentral lists this ribosomal RNA (467 nucleotides) under Priestia megaterium. RNAcentral describes it as "bacterial SSU rRNA". It matches the Rfam family "Bacterial small subunit ribosomal RNA", at positions 64 to 512 of the family's 1533-position model. The record is from RNAcentral. Lineage: Bacteria; Bacillati; Bacillota; Bacilli; Caryophanales; Bacillaceae.
GAGCGAACUGAUUAGAAGCUUGCUUCUAUGACGUUAGCGGCGGACGGGUGAGUAACACGUGGGCAACCUGCCUGUAAGACUGGGAUAACUUCGGGAAACCGAAGCUAAUACCGGAUAGGAUCUUCUCCUUCAUGGGAGAUGAUUGAAAGAUGGUUUCGGCUAUCACUUACAGAUGGGCCCGCGGUGCAUUAGCUAGUUGGUGAGGUAACGGCUCACCAAGGCAACGAUGCAUAGCCGACCUGAGAGGGUGAUCGGCCACACUGGGACUGAGACACGGCCCAGACUCCUACGGGAGGCAGCAGUAGGGAAUCUUCCGCAAUGGACGAAAGUCUGACGGAGCAACGCCGCGUGAGUGAUGAAGGCUUUCGGGUCGUAAAACUCUGUUGUUAGGGAAGAACAAGUACGAGAGUAACUGCUCGUACCUUGACGGUACCUAACCAGAAAGCCACGGCUAACUACGUGCCAGC